This 329-nucleotide unclassified non-coding RNA is filed under the name soil metagenome. RNAcentral describes it as "partial contains 5.8S ribosomal RNA, internal transcribed spacer 2, and large subunit ribosomal RNA". The stretch from base 1 to 120 matches the Rfam family "5.8S ribosomal RNA", at positions 35 to 154 of the family's 154-position model. The record is from RNAcentral.
GAUGAAGAACGUAGCGAAAUGCGAUAAGUAAUGUGAAUUGCAGAAUUCAGUGAAUCAUCGAAUCUUUGAACGCACAUUGCGCCCCCUGGUAUUCCGGGGGGCAUGCCUGUCCGAGCGUCAUUACAACCCUCAAGCUCAGCUUGGUGUUGGGCCCCGCCGCCCCGGCGGGCCCUAAAGUCAGUGGCGGUGCCGUCCGGCUCCGAGCGUAGUAAUUCUUCUCGCUCAGGAGGUCCGGUCGUGUGCUCGCCAGCAACCCCCAAUUUUUUUCAGGUUGACCUCGGAUCAGGUAGGGAUACCCGCUGAACUUAAGCAUAUCAAUAAGCGGAGGA